RNAcentral lists this transfer RNA (84 nucleotides) under Schistocephalus solidus. It matches the Rfam family "tRNA". From Rfam's summary of the family: Transfer RNA (tRNA) molecules are approximately 80 nucleotides in length. Their secondary structure includes four short double-helical elements and three loops (D, anti-codon, and T loops). Lineage: Eukaryota; Metazoa; Platyhelminthes; Cestoda; Diphyllobothriidea; Diphyllobothriidae. The record is from Rfam by way of RNAcentral.
GGCCUCGUGGCUCAGUUGGUUAGAGCGUUGGCUGUACUUAAGCUUUUCACUUUGCUGGCGUGGGUUCGAAUCCCACAGAGGCCG